CCCGUCUAGCUCAGUUGGUAGAGC
Molecule: non-coding RNA, 24 nt
Filed under: Arabidopsis thaliana (thale cress)
Lineage: Eukaryota; Viridiplantae; Streptophyta; Magnoliopsida; Brassicales; Brassicaceae
Source: RNAcentral